GGAAAGGUGCGAGAGUGGCUGAACCGGGCUCCCUGCUAAGGAGUUGUACCCGUGAGGGUACCGGGGGUUCGAAUCCCCCCCUUUCCG
This is a non-coding RNA of Spirochaetaceae bacterium 4572_7, 87 nucleotides long. NCBI's taxonomy places the organism in Bacteria, Pseudomonadati, Spirochaetota, Spirochaetia, Spirochaetales, Spirochaetaceae. The record is from Rfam.